RNAcentral lists this ribosomal RNA (203 nucleotides) under uncultured Saccharomyces. RNAcentral describes it as "partial 26S ribosomal RNA". It matches the Rfam family "Eukaryotic large subunit ribosomal RNA", at positions 77 to 281 of the family's 3401-position model. Lineage: Eukaryota; Fungi; Ascomycota; Saccharomycetes; Saccharomycetales; Saccharomycetaceae. The record is from RNAcentral.
UGCCUAGUACGGCGAGUGAGCGGCAAAGCUCAAUUUGAAAUCUGGUACCUUCGGUGCCCGAGUUGUAAUUUGGAGAGGGCAACUUUGGGGCCGUUCCUUGUCUAUGUUCCUUGGAACAGGACGUCAUAGAGGGUGAGAAUCCCGUGUGGCGAGGAGUGCGGUUCUUUGUAAAGUGCCUUCGAAGAGUCGAGUUGUUUGGGAAU